RNAcentral lists this ribosomal RNA (765 nucleotides) under uncultured bacterium. RNAcentral's name for it is "bacterial SSU rRNA". It matches the Rfam family "Bacterial small subunit ribosomal RNA", at positions 42 to 806 of the family's 1533-position model. The record is from RNAcentral.
GCGUGCUUAACACAUGCAAGUCGAACGAAACACCUUAUUUGAUUUUCUUCGGAACUGAAGAUUUGGUGAUUGAGUGGCGGACGGGUGAGUAACGCGUGGAUAACCUGCCCUGUACAGGGGGGAUAACAGUCAGAAAUGACUGCUAAUACCGCAUAAGACACCGCCCCGCGUGGUGCAGGGGUAAAAACUCCGGUGGUACAGGAUGGACCCGCGUCUGAUUAGCUGGUUGGAGAGGUAACGGCUCACCAAGGCGACAAUCAGUAGCCGGCUUGAGAGAGUGAACGGCCACAUUGGGACUGACACACGGCCCAAACUCCUACGGGAGGCAGCAGUGGGGAAUAUUGCACAAUGGGGGAAACCCUGAUGCAGCGACGCCGCGUGAGUGAAGAAGUAUUUCGGUAUGUAAAGCUCUAUCAGCAGGGAAGAAAAUGACGGUACCUGACUAAGAAGCCCCGGCUAACUACGUGCCAGCAGCCGCGGUAAUACGUAGGGGGCAAGCGUUAUCCGGAAUUACUGGGUGUAAAGGGUGCGUAGGUGGUAUGGCAAGUCAGAAGUGAAAACCCAGGGCUUAACUCUGGGACUGCUUUUGAAACUGUCAGACUGGAGUGCAGGAGAGGUAAGCGGAAUUCCUAGUGUAGCGGUGAAAUGCGUAGAUAUUAGGAGGAACAUCAGUGGCGAAGGCGGCUUACUGGACUGAAACUGACACUGAGGCACGAAAGCGUGGGGAGCAAACAAGAGAGAUACCCUGGUAGUCCACGCCGUAAA